AAAUAAAUAUUGAUCAAAAUGAAAAGUCGUGAAAAGAAAAAAUAAAAAUUAAUAUUAUAUAUGUGAAAAAAAAUAAGUGACAAAUGUGCCAGUGAGUAGUGCCCAGUGAGAAAUCGUCGCGCAAAAAAAAAAAUUUUUUCAGGUCGGGCUUUAGAUUAAUUACACAAGUGUUAAGUGGUAAUUUGUUGGCCUUUCGGUUUUGCGUGUGAAUAAAGGCUGUAUAAAAAGUGCGUAAAAAGUCCACAAGUGUGCGUUACCAGUGACGGCAAUUUAGUGGAUGGGUCACCCACAAGUAAUCCUUGGACCACGGCAAAGAAGGAGCGCCAUCAGAAUUUACGUAUGGAGCUCGCAUUUGGAUCAUCAUGGAGCGAGGGCGAAAUAUGGUAUAAUAUUUUAAUUAAAUUUUUAUUUAUAUUAAAGGUUCCGUUGUUGGGCAAUCAACAUCAAAAGCGGCUGUGCGUUGCAAGCAGGAUUUGCCGAAGCGAUCAUCAACAUAUGUGCUGAAGCACAGAAAAGCUGAUGUGACUACGACCAUCCCAUGUUGAAGCUAUUAGGGAUAUAGCCAACUAGAGGGAUAUCUCUAAUCACCUCGUUGCCGCUGCUAAGAGAUGUUUGUGUCAUCUAAGCUUUGAGUGACCUAGAGAAGCCUAUUCGAAUUUGUGGGACGAAUGUUGGGCAAAGCGGUGCUUACACUAAGGGAUAAAUUGAAGGAGCUAAAAGUGCAUUCGGUGCUAGAAAUCAACAUCACGUUAGGGCGGCACAAAAAGCGGUCGCCCAUGCAUGCGCGAUU
Anastrepha obliqua is the source of this 790-nucleotide long non-coding RNA. RefSeq lists it as uncharacterized. The record is from RefSeq and is a predicted model, not a curated record. The transcript is spliced from 3 exons. Lineage: Eukaryota; Metazoa; Arthropoda; Insecta; Diptera; Tephritidae.